RNAcentral lists this ribosomal RNA (253 nucleotides) under uncultured bacterium. Its description in RNAcentral is "partial 16S ribosomal RNA". It matches the Rfam family "Bacterial small subunit ribosomal RNA", at positions 524 to 776 of the family's 1533-position model. The record is from RNAcentral.
GACGGAGGGUGCAAGCGUUGUUCGGAAUUACUGGGCGUAAAGGGCGCGUAGGCGGUCUGUUAAGUUCGGUGUGAAAGCCCCCGGCUCACCUGGGGAACUGCGCCGGAAACCGACAGACUCGAGUACCGGAGAGGAGGGUGGAAUUCCUGGUGUAGCGGUGAAAUGCGUAGAUAUCAAGCGGAACACCAGUGGCGAAGGCGAGUCCCUGGACAACUCCUGACACUGAGGCACGAAAGCUAGGGGAGCAAACAGG